RNAcentral lists this small RNA (1528 nucleotides) under uncultured Rhizophagus. RNAcentral's name for it is "eukaryotic LSU rRNA". The stretch from base 693 to 1528 matches the Rfam family "Eukaryotic large subunit ribosomal RNA", at positions 1 to 683 of the family's 3401-position model. Lineage: Eukaryota; Fungi; Glomeromycota; Glomeromycetes; Glomerales; Glomeraceae. The record is from RNAcentral.
CCUAGUAAGUACAAGUCAUUAGCUUGUGCUGAUUACGUCCCUGCCCUUUGUACACACCGCCCGUCGCUACUACCGAUUGAAUGGCUUAGUGAGGCCUUCGGAUUGAGAUUCGGAGACUGGCAACAGACUCUGGGUUUUGAAAAGUUGGACAAACUUGGUCAUUUAGAGGAAGUAAAAGUCGUAACAAGGUUUCCGUAGGUGAACCUGCGGAAGGAUCAUUACCGAUUUUAGCGAACCUAACCUUUGGUUAUGGUCUCGCGAAAACUGUAUUUAAAACCCCACUCUUAUAAAUUGAAUCAUUCAUUAUUAUGUAUAAUAAAUAAAGAUCACUUUCAACAACGGAUCUCUUGGCUCUCGCAUCGAUGAAGAACGUAGCGAAGUGCGAUAAGUAGUGUGAAUUGCAGAAUUCCGUGAAUCAUCGAAUCUUUGAACGCAAAUUGCGCUUCCUGGCAUCCCGGGAAGUAUGCCUGUUUGAGGGUCAGUAUUAAUAAAAAAUCGGUUUGGUCGCAAAUUGUGACGUUUCCGGAGUUUGGGCUAUCUUAACUUUUUUUUGGUUAAGAGGCUUAAAAUUGACCUUUUUUGCGCAUUUUUAGACGUACAUAAAUUUUUUUUUAUUCGUCUAUUCUUAAUGCCAAAAUCUUAUUAGAUGCGAUCACAUCGUGUGGUUUCGUGUCCAUAAAAUUUUCAUGAUUUGACCUCAAAUCAGGUAGGAGUACCCGCUGAACUUAAGCAUAUCAAUAAGCGGAGGAAAAGAAAAUAACAAUGAUUCCCCUAGUAACUGCGAGUGAAGAGGGACAAGCUCAAAUUUUAAAUCUGUCGGGUUCUACCUGACCGAGUUGUAAUUUGAAGAGGCGUUUUCUGUGUUUCUGAUCAGUCCAAGUCCUUUGGGAUAAGGCAUCACGGAGGGUGAGAAUCCCGUUCGGUUGAUCAGAUUCGCUUUACGAUACGCUUUCAAAGAGUCAAGUUGUUUGGGAUUGCAGCUUAAAAUGGGAGGUAAAUUUCUCCUAAGGCUAAAUAACGGCGAGAGACCGAUAGCGAACAAGUACCGUGAGGGAAAGAUGAAAAGAACUUUGAAAAGAGAGUUAAACAGUACGUGAAAUUGUUGAAAGGGAAACGAUUGAAGUCAGUCAUACCAACGGGAAAUCAACCUUUUGAGUAUAAUUUUGGGAUGUUAAAGAGUUUAAAAACUUUUGAUGUUUCAUAUAUUUUGCUUUUUAGUGUAUUUUCUCGUAACGGUAAGUUAACAUCGAUUUUGAAUAUUAUAAAAUGACUGGAGGAAUGUGGCUUCGAUCUUGUAUUGAAGUGUUAUAGCCUUUAGUAAAUGUAAUGAUCAAGAUCGAGGAUUGCAACGAAUAUCCUUUUGGGCUAUCCGUCUGAUCUCUGAUACGUUGCUUUGGUAUCGAAAGCGUGCUUAUGGUAUUAAGGUAUUACGGUCAAAAGGUUAGAACGUGAUUACAUUCGUUAAGGAUGUUGACGUAAUGACUUUAAACGACCCGUCUUGAAACAUGGACCAAGGAGUCUAACAUAU